UGUUGGAGAGUUUGAUCCUGGCUCAGGACGAACGCUGGCGGCGUGCUUAACACAUGCAAGUCGAGCGGAAAGGCCCUUCGGGGUACUCGAGCGGCG
This 96-nucleotide ribosomal RNA is filed under the name Micromonospora costi. Its description in RNAcentral is "partial 16S ribosomal RNA". It matches the Rfam family "Bacterial small subunit ribosomal RNA", at positions 1 to 100 of the family's 1533-position model. Lineage: Bacteria; Bacillati; Actinomycetota; Actinomycetes; Micromonosporales; Micromonosporaceae. The record is from RNAcentral.